GACGAACGCUGGCGGCGUGCUUAACACAUGCAAGUCGAACGGAAAGGCCCUGCUUUUGUGGGGUGCUCGAGUGUCGAACGGGUGAGUAACACGUGAGUAACCUGCCCUUGACUUUGGGAUAACUUCAGUAAACUGUGGCUAAUACCGGAUAGGAGCUCCUGCUGCAUGGUGGGGGUUGGAAAGUUUCGGCGGUUGGGGAUGGACUCGCGGCUUAUCAGCUUGUUGGUGGGGUAGUGUCUUACCAAGGCUUUGACGGGUAGCAGGCCUGAGAGGGUGACCGGCAACAUUGGGACUGAGAUACGGCCCAGAAUACUACGGGAGGAAGCAGUAGGGAAUAUUGCACAAUGGGCGGAAGAAUGAUGAAGCAACGACGCGGGCGGGAUGAAGGACUUCGGGUUGUAAACCGCUUUCGCCUGUGAAGAAGAGUGAGUGACGGUAAUGGGUAAAGAAGCACCGGCUAACUACGUG
Molecule: ribosomal RNA, 468 nt
Filed under: uncultured bacterium
Lineage: Bacteria
Description: partial 16S ribosomal RNA
Rfam family: Bacterial small subunit ribosomal RNA
Source: RNAcentral